Molecule: long non-coding RNA, 2808 nt
Filed under: Nicotiana benthamiana
Lineage: Eukaryota; Viridiplantae; Streptophyta; Magnoliopsida; Solanales; Solanaceae
Description: long non-coding RNA (NBEN_LNC009906)
Source: RNAcentral
AACAAUAAUUAAAACUAAUCAGAUAUGAAGUGAGAAAAUGUUAACAAUUUUAAAACACUAAUACAUGACUAUCCCAAAUAUCUGGUAUCACAAUCCACGAACGUCGAAGAAUUUCUACAAAUUCUUGUUAAAAGGAAAUAUAUUUGUUUUUCGGAAUGAAAGAAAAUGUUAACUAAUAUAGAGGGAAGGGGACUCCAUAGUCUGCGAACGACGGCAUAUCUACCGUGGGUCUGAUGAAGACUAAAGCACCAACCCAAACUCUAAUCAAUAUGGCCCAGUACCGAGAUCUGUGUAGAAAGUGUAGAGUCUAGUAUCAAUACCAUCAACCCCAUGUACUGGUAAGUGUCGAGCUUAACCUCGGCGAAGUAGUGACGGGACUAAGAUAUGACAAAUAACAUAAACCAUUGCUGUUAAACAAUGUACUAACAGAAUAACAAGUAAUAUAAGCUAAGCAGAAACUAAUGGGAAAGGGAAACAUGCUAUGGGGUUACCAAAAUAAAGAAUCACAGCAGUACAGGAAUUUAAAUAGCUAGUACACUUUGAACCGGUAAUAACAAGUAAGCACAGCAAACGAAAAAUUCACAGCAACUUUCGUGCUUUUACUCUCAACCACACCAGAAAAACAAUAAUAGAAACGUACACAAUACCACCCUUCGUGCUUUACCGCGCAACCUCACCAAAUAAUCAAUAUAAAUGUGCAAAACAUCACCCUUCAUACUUUAAAACUCUUCAUCACCAUAAGAAACAAUAACAAGCCGGCAAGGCAUCAUAAUUAAACAAUUUUGUUUCAUCACUUUAUUUCACAACAGAAAUCUCAACAUGAUCCAAUACUCAGCCAAUAUCCAAAAAACUAGGAAAGCAUAGUAAGACUUGUUUAACAUGAGUAUUACCAAUUUAAGCAGGAACAAUGCGUAUAAAGAAAACACAACGGUCACAAGUAUAAUACUCACUCGCAUGUUAUGACCCGACAACAAUGUAUAGAUACUCGUCACCUCAUCUAUACAUUGUACUUAACAACAACAAAAUUAGUAAAUAAGACAACAUUACCUAAUCCCUCAAGUUAUGGUUAGCCACAACACUUACCUCGAUUCCACGACCAAGCUUAAGCCUCAAAUACCGAUUUUCUCUUAGUUUCCCCUUCCAAUAUGCUCGUCUCUACUAAUAAUUAACUUGUGACCAUCAAUUAAAGCUAGAGAAACCAAAUCCAACGCAUAACUAAUUUUCCAAUAUUUUCCUCAAAAGUCAAAAACUGACCAUAGGUUUGCUUGCUCAAAACUCGAAGUUCAGACCAGAACUCGAUUACAUAUUCACCCCCUAGCCCCGAUAUAAAAUUGAUUUUGUAAUCUGACCUCAAUUUGAGGUCUAAAUCCCCAACUUUUCAAAUUCCUAAGUUCUACCUAAAACACUCAAUUCCCCAGUGAAAAACCCUAGAUUUUGUGAUGAAAUCUUGUAAGAAGAUGAAAUAGAUUGAAAGAAAUGAGUUAAAAAUCAUUUACCUAUGAUUUGAGAAUGACUACUCCUUGGAAAAUUGGCUCUUGAAUCUUAGGGUUUGAAAAUUUGAGAAAUGAAUUAAAAAUCCCGUCUAAGUCUCUUUUGCGGAGUUGCAAAUGUCGCAUUUUCAACUGUCACACCUCUUUUUUAUUCGCCCGAAGGGGUACAAGGGAGUUUUUCCAAUUAAAGUGACAUUAAUAAAAAUGAAAUUAUUUUAUUUAUUUUUCAAAGUCGCCACUUGAAAUAUUUGUUAUGAUGUCCUAAGUAACCGGUUUAUUUUAAAUUCUAAAUGAGGGAAAUUUUACUUUAUUUAAAAGUCUACGAACCAAAAAUUUUAGAAAAGGAAUUAUGUUAACUUUGUAGAAGGUAUUAGACAUUUUCGGUUCUGUGAUUCUAGCACAAUCGCCUAAACUAUUAAUAAUAGGUCUAUCAUCUCAUUAAUUACAAGUUUUAAACCUAUUGUGCAUUUUUAGCUUUGAUAACCGCUUUUCUUUAUUUAUGGAGUUAUUUUUGGGACAAGUCACGAUUGUCGCACACUUGCCGUUUUGGAAUACAUUGCAAAUCGCACUACGUGAAAAAUAUCUACAAUUUACUAUAUGUAUAUUUUAUUAUUAUUCAAAGUUAUUAUAAUCGGGUCACAUCAAAGCUACACAUUGGCAGACUUGACAGAUAUAACUAAAUCCAGUGAUCAAAACAGAAUAAAUGCACGAAAUCAGACAUACAUACAACAUGAUUAACUUGCAUUUUUAUUUAAAAGAGAGCAGUGGAGUAUUACAUGUGAGCAUAUACGUACCUAUCUGCAGCAAAAUCCAAUUAAAUGACCAAUUCAAGGCCUAACGCACAGGAAUCCAUUUAAUAAAUGUCAAUGGCCAAAUAAAGGCCACAAUAGAGCUGAUGGAGUUCAGAAAGGACCAUGAAAGAAGCAGUAGUCGAAACAAAAUAUCCUCAAACCCAGCUAAACCAUGAGGAGCCCCAGAAAAAUACUUCAAAUGACAGAAAUCGAAAUCCCUAUAGAAAAUCAUCUUAAUCCAUUCUUGAAAAGCUCUUGUUUUCACUUUUUUUUCUUUUAACUUUUGAGCUUCGAAUUUGUUUUUGAUCCUUAUUUGUGCUUGUCUAUUCUUCAGAUGUGUGUGUUAAUCUGUGUAUUUUCGGUGAAGAUAAGAGUGAAGAGAAGAUGUGGUGAGGCUCUGCUACGGGUCAGUUGGUAUUAAUUUUUUAUGAAGAAGAAAGCAGUGCCCCUAGAAGAAAAAUCAAGUUCAUGGGGCGCCCUAUUUUAGCUUUUUCUCGGGGUCCUCUACUGAUCUAUCGCUUAGGUCU